CAUAGAAGACACUUUUGAGCUGCCUCAGCCAUUCCUGCAGCUCAUGGUUAUGCUCCUGCUUUUGCUCAGCAUCUAACAGCACUGCCUUGACUAAUGAGAGAGUCUUUUUAAGGUCUCGGAGAUGGUCGUACAAACCCACCACCCGAGAAGCUUCUUGGAAAGCAUGAGAAGCAAGCUUUGUUAUGAGAGACUCAGCGAUGCUGAAGAUAAAUAAUUCAGCCAUGGUUUGUGUUAUCAGGAAUUCCAACACCAGAGAUCGAAAGUAAAAAUACAAGUCUUCACUGGUGAACUCUAGUUUUUGUGGCCAAUGGUUAAGGUUGUCCCCAGGAGCAAUAUCCUUUACAGCUCUUGCAAUUGACAAACAAAACACGUGGGUGGGGUACUUGACCAUAAAAAAUAAAUAUAUUCUAAUAUAGAUUUGCAUGUAAAAAUAAAAGGGUGAAUUUUGAACUAAACAUGAUUCUUAAUUCAAAAAUUUCUAUUAAUUUCAUUUCAUAACAUAUGUACUUGAAUCAUUUGUAUUUCUAAUAAGCAAUGACUUAUAAACAAUCAUUCUUAAAUUCUUUUUUUAUUUUACAAAAAAUCUUAAACUCUUAAUGUCUAGAAUAAAUUCAACUUAUCAAUUUAGUCAAGGGAAAAUAAUAUGUUUUAGAUUUUCACAAACUAGUGAGUUUUAUUUUAUAUCUUUAAUAAAAGAAUUACAUUAAAUCUCUAAUAAAGUAAAAAAAAAAAUUAUCGUUAAGUUCUUAAUAUUUGGUUCUAGUUGCUGAUAAAUUCCAUAAAUUUUAAUUUGAGUUUUUAGUAAAUUUUUGUUCAUUUAAAAUUAAAUAUCAAGAAACAAAAUAAAAUUUUUAUUUUACUGAAUUUAAAUAAUUUUUUUAUUAAGUACUCAAAAUAAAAUUUAUUAAUUUAUUUAUGGUAUACCUAAAUCAUAUUUUAACUUAUGGUAAUUAGCUUUCAAAACUUACUAUUUAGAGUUUGCGUGAAAGUUAAAUUAUUAAGUAGUCAAAUUUUGGCUUAAAAUUAAUUAUUUAGUAGUUAUUUAUAAUUAAAAGUUGAAAAAAUUAAUUAAAUUGAAUUUCUGGUUGCAGAUACGAAAAAUGAGGUUACAUUAAGCAAAAAGGGCAACAAAAAUGAAGAGAAAGAAGGAAUUCUGAAGCAGGCUCAGCCCAACAGUGGCGCUAAGCGCACAUAAGGCGCUAAGCGAGCAACCAAAUGCAGGCGCUAAGGGAUGCGCUAAGCCUGGCUACGCGCCCAGCGCGCCCAGAAGCUCACUUCAGCAACUAUAAAUAGAGAGUCAAUCCCAAAGAAUCAUCACCUCGUCUCAUAGCACUGUUCUCAGGACUUCAAGCCUGAGCUUUCCUUUCUCUCUUACUCUUCUUUGUUUUUAUUAUUCUCAUUCUUUCCUUCACCCCAAAUUGUAAGCCCUCAAUGGCCAUGAGUGGCUAAUCCCCUAGCUAGGGCCUAGCAGGCCUGAAAAGCCAACGAUGUACGGUGUGCUUCAAGAAUUAUCAAUGCAAAGAGAAUUUCUCAUAGGUUUUUCUGUUCUAAUUCUUUCUUUAUUAUCUUGCAUUCGUUCUUAAACUUCUUUUGGGUUUUAUUAGCUGGGGAGAGGGUAUUCCCCAAUAAAUAUUUAAGAUUCAAUGCAUGCAUUAGUUUUAGGGGUUAUACACUUGGGAAAGGGUAACGCCUAACAAAACAUCUCAAGAAAAGAAUCCUUGGGUUACCAUUGCUAGGCAGAGAAUGAUAACCCAUUGCCCAUGCAUUUAAGCAACAUCUAGAACUUAACCUUAAUGCAUUUUAAUUAUUGAAUCUUCGCAAAGGCAUUUGGGAGAUAGGUAGUUAAAAUAGGCUUACCAACGUGAGGCAUCAGGGUCAAGUAGUUAACAAAUGUGGAUAGAACUAAUACCUGUGCAUUGGUAAUGAAUAUCAUAUUUACAUGCAUCGUAGGCCAAUUAGGUUCGUCUGGUCUUGACAUCUUUAUUAAUUGUCUUUCCUCUUUAACCAUUUGAUUUAGUAAUCACCCUUAUUUCUGCAUUUAUUUGUGUCUUUAUUAUCUUUACUUAUAUACUUACAAAUUGAGAAGUAUUUAAUUAAGUGCAAUAAAGUCCCUGCGAAAACGAUACUCGGACUUCCGAGUUAUAUUACUUGAGAGCGAUUUGGUACACUUGCCAAAGUCUCAACAAUCUUUAAUAAAAGAAUUACAUUAAAUCUCUAAUAAAGUAAAAAAAAAAAUUAUCUAUGUUCUUAAUAUUUGGUUCUAGUUGCUGAUAAAUUCCAUAAAUUUUAAUUUGAGUUUUUAGUAAAUUUUUGUUCAUUUAAAAUUAAAUAUCAAGAAACAAAAUAAAAAUUUUAUUUUACUAAGAAUUUAAAAUAAUUUUUUUAUUAAGUACUCAAAAUAAAAUUUAUUAAUUUAUUUAUGGUAUACCUAAAUCAUAUUUUAGCUUAUGGUAAUUAGCUUUCAAAACUUACUAAUUACAGUUUGCGUGAAAGUUAUCAAUAUCAACCGAGAAUUCGUUAGUGCCGCCUUGAAAGAGUCACGUACAUCAUCAACGGUUGAAAAACUCCCAUUAUCCAUGAGGUCAUAUGGCCGCAAUACAUAUGAGAAGUAUCCAGCAAAAAACUCCCAUCAACAUAAGUACAGACUCGUGAAAUUGGCCAUGAAGUUUCCACUACCGCUCAAAUGUGCUGCAAAUUUGAUAUAUACUAUACAUUGCUGCAAUUAAACGAAUUAAUUUUAUACUCAUUUUAAGACAACAGUACUUUUAUUACUUCAUGUUUUUAUCAUUUUUUCAUUUCUGUUUAACAACAAACAUGUCACGCUUGUUGCUUCAAUUUUCUUACCAUUCUUGGGCCUAAAUUAGUUAGUGCUUUUAAUUGAACUCUAUCAAUGAUCCAAUAGUACAUACGUGAUAUGCUCAAGUUCGAAGGCUGGUUUACAAGGCCAGCACCUCCAGAAUAGAGGGAGAAGAUGAAGGAGAAGAUAAGUAUCAAAAUUUUUCAUUGCCUUGGUUGCUUAUUACAUUGUUUAUUUAUAGUGCUUUCUAAUAAUAGAAUUGUAUUAAUUGAUUCCCUAGGAAUAUCACACUAACAGAAUUUAUUAGGCUGUCCCUGAGGGUAGACAGCACUAAGGCAAGCAAGGAUCCUGAGCUUUGUCGUUUUCUUCAUACCUAAUCGCUGAGGUAGGCUAGUUUUGUGAGUUUUCUUUUAGGCUUGUCUUCUAUUUGCAUCUCCCUUUUUCUGAAUCGAUACACAACUUUCUAAAUAGACCAACAAAAUUCCACAAAAUACCUCAAAUAUAUUCUAAACAUACUUUCAUGUCCAAAAUAUUAUUUCAUAAAUCUCUAACUGAUAGUUUCAUAAUUCUCUUUUCUUAAUUUAAUUUAUUAUAAUUUUAAAUUAAAUUUAUAUCUAGAUGUUAACAAAAAUUAUUUUUACACUUUAGAUACUUUUUUAAAUUUUAUUUUGAACUUCAAUUUUAUUUUCCCUUAAGUUUUUUAAAAAUGAAUAUAUUACAAGUAAAACAGAAUAACAAAUAGCCAAAUCUAAAAAUAGGAAUUUAGACACUCUGAUAAUUGUAGGGAUUAAAACAAAAAAAUAUAUUAAAUUAAAUUAAAUAACAAAGACAGUGACCAAAAAGAUAAUUUUACAAGUAUCUUUCGAAAAAAAAAUAUUUUAUAAGGAUUAAAACAAAAAAAAUAUAUUUUAGAGAACAAAUUGUAUUAUAGGUUUAUUUUUUAUAAUGCUUAGUAUACAUAUUACCAUAUGGUAAAAAAAUUAUAUAUCUCAUCAUUUGUUCAAUAAUUAAUUUCUCUAAAGAAAUAAAAAUAAGAUUAAAAUUAAUCUAAUCCAAAAAUUGUAUCAGAUGGAAUCAGAUUUAAAUUUUAAACCAAUUUGAUCAGAUGAUAAAUUUAUAAAUUCCAACUCAAACCGUAUCUUGUAUAUAUAGUUGUUACUUUUUAUUUAGGCACUCUGGAGUUGUCAUGGACAAUAUUUUGUUUUCAGCGGGUCUUGGGUUAAGAUUUUCCGACCUGUGAAUUCUCUUUUGUGUGGAAUUCAAAUCCAGCUGCAUGUUUGAAAGAUUUUUUGAGUCGAUGGUGGUUGUAUUUUGUGGCAAUCGGGAUCGGGAUUAACAGAAAUGUGUUCUGUUUCCUGUUGUUUCAUAGAAGUGUGUUAUCUGUAAGAGUGGGGAGAGCAUAUUGGGAACUAUUGAUGGGUUGAUAAUCUUGUAUGGACACCAAGUGUCUCCCAAAGCGUAGCUACCUCAACACUAUUAAAUUCAUAAUCCUUUGGGUAAAGUGAAAACAAUGCAAAACAUUGCCUCAAAUAGGAAGGCAAGAAAUCAUAACUUAAUUUAAGUGCAGGUAAAAUGUCAUCUUUAUUUUGCGGCAAAUUCCAAAUUUCAUUGUCUCUCACAUAAUCCCACUCAUUUACCUCAAACUUUGAAAAUAGUAAACUCCCCAAUGUUCUCACAGCCAAUGGAACCCCUUUGCAUUUGUUCACAAUUUCUUUUCCGAUAUUUACCAAAUGAGGAUGCUUUUCCUCUUCGCCUUCGUUUUUAAAUGCCCAUUUGACAAAAAGAGACAAUGAAUUCUUCGGAGAAAGGCUUUGUAACUUGUAAGAGGCAACAGUCCCCAUCAUGGAAGCAAUGGAAUCAAUACGUGUAGUAACUAGAAUUUUACUUCCUGCAGCAACCCCUACCUUUAUUAAAUUCCUCAGCUCAACCCAUCUAACACGGUCAUCAUUCCAUACGUCAUCCAAGACAAGUAAGAAUUUUUGACCGGCAAGUCUGCUUCUCAAUUGAUUUUGUAAUUGCUCCAGAUCGACCAUGUCUAAAUUUUGUUGGCGAAGAGGAGCAUCAGCAACAUUCGCAGAAUUGAUGAUUUUGAUAAUGAGUUGGUUAAUGUCAAAGUCAUCAGAAACACACACCCACAUCUUUAAUGGGAAACACCCGUCUAUCCUCUUAUCAUUAAACACAAACUUUGCAAGUGUAGUUUUUCCCAAGCCUCCAAUCCCCACAAUGGGGAUAACAGAGAGACUUUUAUCAUCAUCAUUGGGAUUCUGCUGCAUCAAAAGCUCUAUGAUCUUUUCUUUAUCAUGUUCCCUUCCUAUCACAUCUGAGUCACUCACACGGGAGUGUGUCAUGCGACUCGUGUCUCUCCUAUGCACAACACGUGUGUCAACAUCAAUUGUUCGGAGACCAAACUUGUGCCUAUCAGCUGCAACCUUGUCUAGCCUCUUGCUGACAUCUUUGAUUUUCUGAGCCAUCUUGGAACGAAAAACAAGUGGAUUAGAACUUGAGAAGAAGUGGCUUACCUCGUCUUUAUCUUCGAAAUGUAUACGUGUAAGUACGUAAACACACGUUCUUAAUUAUGUGGAUGUAGGUUCAUUGUCUGAUGGUGAAGUAAGCAAAUUCUAUAUAAAAUAUAAAAGAGAUACACAUUACACCAUCCUUAUCCAGCCAGAGAUACAUACUCAUUUGUAAUCCAAGAGAAAAAAUUAGAGGCAAAUUUAAACUUUGAAAAGGGAUAUGUAAUUUGAAUCAAUUCAAAAGAAUAUAUUUUCUAUAUCGGCAGAAGCACACUUUCUAUUAAGAUUCUCGAUCAAUCCAGGUGAAAAAUACUGAUACAAGAUAACUACAACAGCACCAGUUACAUUCGAGAAAGUAUGCAAGUCCAACAACUGCAUUGUCUCCCUUGCUGUGUUUGCCUGACUUUCUGUAUGAACAAUCCCUUUGGAAAAGUAUGGGAUUAGGGCACAUUAGUAUAGCAUCAAUGCUUUGUUAACAUUUUAGUUAAUUAAAUUUCAAAUUCCAAUUAGCAUGAUAUCCAAACAAAAAAUUUUAGACUUAGAAAUUUUAAAUUUUUUAAAAAUUAUUUUUUCUGUUUUAAAUACUUCAUUCAAACAUAUCAUAAGAGAAUCAUCAACAACAACAAAAAAACACACACUGAGAGAAACAAACAAACAAAUUUGUUAUUGGAUUAGUGUUUUUAUAAUUGAUUCUGAUAUCAACUUGAUUAUUCUAUAGAAUUGAUUCCAAUUAAAUGUAAUUUUAGAAUAAUGUGAUUUUUAUUUUGAUACAUAUAUAUUAAAAAAAUAAUUUUCAUAUUUAAUGAUAUCUGAAAAGUAACUAUCAAAAUUAAUUUUGAAAUAAAAUUACCAAAAUGGAUAUUAAUUGUUUGUGGAUGUCUUUUGCAUUAUAAUUUACCAAAAUGGCAGUGUCUAAUAUCCCAAGUGCCUCGGUGAUUACAGGGUUAGCUAGUUAGUUACCAACAAUAUCAGCUUCCAUGAUAUUGUUGGUAACUAGAAAUGAAAAUUAAUUUAUAUACGUACGCUUCACAUUUUACAAACCUCCGAAUAUGGUAUCACUGACCUUGAUUCCACCCUUCUCCUCUUCAACCUGCCCUUUGAGGCCUUCCUACAACACCAACAACAACAAUAUCAGCUUCCAGGACCUUGUCAUCCUUUAGUUUGACUUCUUUUAGCAGAAUGAUGGAUGAAAGUCAUGGUUACUUUGAUUAGGAACUUUAAAAUGCCAUCCCAUGACAGGGUUCCGAGAUCCCAUGCAAUCAUAAUACCUCUCAAUCGGAAUUAGACGUAAUGCUUUAAUUGGAUCGGUAACUCAACCGGCCUUGAGGCACUGAUUAACAGUCUAUUGGUUGAAUCGGAGUUUUAAGUAUAAAAUAGUUUUUGAAAUCAUUCAAUUACACUCUCUUACGGUAAAUUUGUUAAAUUUUAUAAUAAUUAAAAAUCAUAUAAAUUAAUAAUAAUUUAUGAUUAAAUAAUAAUAUAAAAUUAUUUUACAGCCAUUAAGCUCAUGUAUAAAAAGUGUGUGAAUAUUUUUUUAUGUUGAUUUAUACUAAAUAUUUUUUUAUGUUGGUCAUGGGUUCGAAUCCGGAAACAGCCUCUUUGCAUAUGCAAGGGUAAGGCUGCGUAUAACAUCCCUCCCCCAUACCUUUGCAUAGCGAAGAGCCUCUGGGCAAUGGGGUACGAAGUUUUUUAUUGUCAUUCAAUUGGUGCUAGCUUGCAACAAACUUCAUUUAAAUUUAAACAAUAAAACUCCUUUUCAUGUUUUUGUCACACCAUCUCCCUCCUCAAAAGUACAAAUUAUCACUCUGUCAUAUAUACCAGCACAAACAAAUCAAGCCAACAUACUAAAAAACAAGCACACCAAAAACACGACUUAAAACAUAAUAAAGAUCAUUAUUCCAGGUGCUUGAUCGUGCCCUCAUGUAGCCUUUAUUUGUACAUACUUCGUACUCUACUUUAUUGCCAAGUGUAGAAGCAGUUACUUCCCUUCACAUCUUUAUACAAAUAUUUAAGUAGGCUUUUCAUUCUCCAUAGGUCCAUAUAACCAAACUUGUCUUCCACCAAGUUCCUGCGUUGGCCUUGCAUUUUCCUCAUAUCCCUGUGGAACAGUUGCAAUUUAGAUAAUGCUUAAGUAGAUGAUGUACUUGUAUUGUAUGAUCACUUAUAUGGGAAUUUUAGAUUUGAUAAAUAGUUCUAAAAGAGAAGUAUUCAUGCUUCUUAUAAACAUUUUAUAUAUAUACAUAUACAUAUAUAUAUAUACACAAUUAACUAAUUAAAAUUUACUUGUAAAUAUAUGACUUUUAAUUAAAGUCAUUUUUAUAAAAGUCUGUAGUUUUUAAUUAUAUGUCAGUUCAUGAUUAAAUGUAAAAUAAAUAAAAAAAUAUCUUUACAUUUUCGGUGUAUUCCAGUUAUAUAUAAAUUCAAAAACAUUUGUUUUAGGAAACUUGAUAGAUCUAGUGGGUGCUAAUUUACUUACAUGAUGAACAGCUCCUUUCAAGGCACUUAAUUGCUCGCUUGAGACUGUCCUGACCUGUAAUACACAUGCAACAUAAGUUUAGAAAAGGGUGUCUAGUAAAAAUAUAGUCUUUGCCAGUUAAGAAAAUCAUGUGAAUAAAGUACAGAACCUUCUUCACAAUUGUCCAAACAACACCUUCAGUGCAUGCUGGAGUUGUAAGAGAACCAACAUAUCUGUAGUACGGUCUGCUUUUAAACUUGAUCUCUCUUGAGUUGAUUAGUCCUACAUCUAUAUCCUUGUCCACACUUGAUUUUAUGUCAUUGAGCAGCUGCCAGAGAGAAUAAAGUUUUUGUUAUAGAAAAAACAAAUUGAAAUUAAUCACUCAGUCAUUUCCAGCACCAUAUUAAUCACUCAGCUACAAUACAUAAAUUCGAAAUUAACCACAUAAUCAUUUCCAGCAUCAAAUUAGAUUCUCUUUUAUGACUUAUGUAUAAUCAUUGCGUUAAAUAAUGUUAAUAGCAAGGUUUUAAAUUAUGGUCACACCUAUAGCUUUGUAUUCUUGAUAUUGUAGGAAAGUAUGGAUAAAUAUAUCUAUGCAGCUGAUAUGGCUAUAAUUGUAGAUGCAAAGAUCACAAAAUCCUUGACAUUGCAGUCAAAAUUGUAGUUGUGGACCAUUUUUUAAAAUGACAAAAUAGUUUAACCACAUUUAUUUACUUAUAAAGCAAAGGACAGGGUUUCAGCAUUGAAUAGAAUUUAGGAGCCCUUAUUUUCAUUUUUAUCUAUAGACUGCUUCUUCUAAAAUUUGAGAUUCACAGAAUCACAGAAGGGGCAAAGUUAUCUUACAAUUUAUAGGGAAGAGAAGAGAACUAUAUGUACUUAAAUUUACAUAUUUGCAAACAUUUAUCUAAACUAGAUAUAGAAACAUGUAGUAAUCUAUACACUAAUUCUCAGAAGUGUACACAGAUGUCAAGAGCAAACCUUUGAAAAAAAGGGAUCUGGAGAACCAAUUUUAUACAAUAUUCCAAUAACAGCAAACUCUCCUUUAGAGGUUGUAUGGACUGCAUGCAGUUCCAAGUCAAACCUAAAUAACAAAUAGAAGACAUCUAUAUUUAUAUGGAGAAUCAUGCAAAGCCAAGCCUAAAGAGUUUCCUUAGCACUGCAUCAAGCAGUUAAAGAAGCUAAAUGAAAAAUGGAAAACUCACUUUGUUCCAUUCAACGUGUGCUCUGAAGGUGUAUGCCAAUGACAUUGAAUCAGAUUAUAGUAAGUUUCAUUUAUGUUAAGCUGGCCUGCAUCUCCUUUCCAUUCCAGCUGUCAAAACAUUAAGCACAAAUAUUAGGUUCAUUAUGCAAAUUUGUCCCAGCUCUCAGGAAGUACUGAUCCAUUGAUAAGUACUGCUAUAUAUGCGACUAGAAAAUUUUUAUCCUUCAUGUUAAUAAGUAAGAUUUCCAAUGUAUUAAUGUGAAAUAUGAUGCAACAACUAAGUGUAUGUUCAGAUAAAAGUUUGCAAAAACAACUAAAGUCUUGUUUCUACAAAAUUGAGUUUUCAAGCCAAACUUUAAUGUGUAAACGUAUAUAUAUAUAUCCAGAAAUGUCAAGAAUCUGAGUUAUUCUCCAAAUUUAGUUAGGAUCACGCCAAACAGAAAACUGAACAUAAUCCAAAGGUACCCGAAAAAUAAGAAGUUCAUGAACCAAUAGGAUGGAGUGCGAGUUUGGAUACACGUUAGAUAUCCAACACCACAUGUUUGGCCCUACAGUGAGGAGUUGAUUCUGAUUCUUAGUCUAAAAUUAAUUUUGAAUACAUUGAAUAUGUUUUUUUAAGAAUAAAAAAAUUUAAAUAUAAAUCACUUCAUUUGGUAAUUAAUUUUACAUACUUUCACUCGAACGCAUAGUGACUUACCACGAUGUCAUGACCCCUAUUCUUUAGGACAGCAGGAGCUGAUUUGUAAGCUUUCUUAAGUUUACCCAAUUGAGGAAGCUCUUGAACCCUUUGGUCAAGCAGAUCAAUGGGAGAUUGUAGUUUUCCAUCCCCACAUGUUUUCCAUUUUUGGUUGAUACGCCACCAAUUCUCUGGCCCUGUGCUACUUCCUAUAGCGUAGGUAUAUUCUUCAUCUUCUGUUCACACAAGGGAGAAGCCAAGGUCAAUAAGCUCAAUAAAGAGUAAUGAGGCAUUAAUGAUUCCAAUUGUUAUUCUUUUUUUGGCUGAAUUUUCAAUUGUUAUUCUACAACCGUGAUUUUUUGAAUUGGACCACAAGAUAUUACAAUUAGAAGAACCUUAAAAUUGCAUCAACAACAGGUAAAGCUGUGAAUAACUGCAUUGUACAUGCAUUGUCCAAAUUGAGAGAUUAACCAGUGAAGGUUAUAAAUACUGUGAGAAAAAUUAAAAGAUGUCAAAUUCGGAAAGAUCGACAAAGGACCCUUUAAUUUUUUUUCCCCCAAAGGCAUAAGAAAUUGGCCUCGUAACAGGAGGAAAGGUUGGUAACAAAAGAUAAAAGAUAAAAAAAAAUUGGGAAAACAUAAGGAAAAAAAAGUAUAUAGCUUCACAAAUGUGGAGAGACUAUUAAUUUAUGAUGUGGGCUCGGAGAAAAGGUGAAUGAGAUAUAGUCAUUUCGUGACUCCCAAAUAAGGUUGUAAAAAAAUUAAGGUUCAGUAACAUAAAAGAAACGAAACGUACGUAAAGCGUUUUCUUUUGAUGUUUUUUCCAUAAUUCUAAUUUACAUUAAUUUAAUAAGGAAAGGGUUAAAAAUGAAAAGUAAACCAUAUGAAUCAAAAAAUCAACUAAAGGAGAAACAAUUGGUUGUUUUAUGAAUGCAUCUAGCUCCUGUAUGCAAAAACAAGUUAAAGUUCAUGCUGGUUGAUCAUUAAAAAAUUAGACAUUCAGUAUUGAUAUAUCUUUCUUAUGAAAAUAUUCAUUACUAAUAUUUAACAUCGAAGAAACAAUUGUCAAAUCAAUUAGAUCUUCAAUCACAAGAUAAAACAAUUUUAAUUAAUUAUAGAUGGUGAAUCAUCCAACAAAUUUUUCAUAUAAGGGGUUGUGUAAUGCACUCGUUUGGAAAAGAAGGAAAAUCAAACUUCAUACUAGAGAAAUUAAAAUUAUUGGAAAGAAAAUGAUCAAAGAUUUUUGCAUAAAACUGCUUUUAGAAUGGGAAUAAACACAAAAUAAAAACGGGCUAAACAUGAUGUUAGGGAGGAACAUCAAGAUAUUACUAAUAUCCUUGGUUUCCUCAAUUUGCCAAAAAUGAUGAAUCACAACAAUGACACCUUUUUUUCAUUUUCUCUAACAUGAAAAAUAAAAAAAUAAAAAUGAAGGUAUAUAUAUAUAUAUAUAUAUAUAUAUAUAUAUAUAUAUAUAUAUAUAUAUAUAUAUAUAUAUAUAUAUAUAUGUAGUGACUCUUGUUUGCUUUUGUGCUUUUGAAGAUUUAUAAUAAUAUGCUCACAGCCUCUAAUCUCAUUUCAAGGGUUGUCAUCCAAUGUGCCUAUUUUCACGUUAUCAAGGUUAUUCAUUUUAGUUACUUAUUACGUAUGUUUGGUAUGUUGGUUUAUGGUAUGGUUAUGGUAGAAAUACUGAUUUAUUUACCCGCUAAGGAAAAAACUGCCAAUUAAUUAUAUUUAAGCUAAAAUGGGAUUUAGGUCCAUUUAUUUUUUUAAUAUAUAAUUUUGAUUUCUUUAUUUUAAAAUUAAGAUAUGUAGUUAUUGUAUUUAAAAAAUUAAUAAUUUUAAUCUCUCUAUUCAACAUACAAUUCAAAUUAAGAUGUUGACCGUUAAUUCUAACUUUAACUCAUGUUAUUGAAAAGAAAAUUACUUUUCAACCCGUUCAUCUUCUUUGCACCAUUCUUCAUCAUCCAAUUUUUUCAGCAAUGUUCCCACCUCUGUUUCUUGUACCUCUCCUCUAUUAUCAUCCUCCUUUUCCCUUCAAUUUAUAUCUAAAUCCCCAAUUUUUUUGGUUGGAAUUGUCAUCCUCCCCAACCCAAAUAGUGUAAAUAGUCUGCAAAAAAAAAAAUCCUAUUUGAAGAUAUAUGCUACGGAACUGUAUUUAAAAUGUGAUAAGAAGAAGCAUUGGGGAGGUGAUGGUGUAGUUUUGAAACCUUUCGCUUAAAUUCUUUUGUUUCUCCUUUUUUUUAAUCGAAAAUAUAAAUCCCUAAUUUUCUUUUGAGGUUUGACCUAUCUAAAAAAAAAUUCCUAAUUUCUUGCCAAGAACUUUUGAUGUUGGUUGCAAGGUUGAAAUCGAGGUUCUAAAAUUUGAUAAUUGUUAAAAUUUAGGUUUAGGAAUGUUUUUCAAGUUCUCCUAGUGAUUUUAUGGAGGAAGGUAGCUCGGUGUGGAACAUCUUUGUAAGAGAGAUGUUGACAAUCGAGAGACGCCAAUGACUUUGUCGAAAACAAGUUUCGUGGUGGUUACAAUUAAAUUAUAUUUUAGUGUUAUAUUUAACAUUAUGCAUGUGCCUAAACUAAAUUAAAUAUUAUGAUGUGUCUAAACUGUAAUUUGUAAUUAUUAAUAUGUAAAUUUAUUUUGAAAUAUUAUUGAACAAUAAUGUAAAAAAACUAUUUUAACUAAUUAAACUUUUAGAAAAGACUUCCCUGUAAAUAACAUAAAAGGUAUUACCCCAAUUUAAUUUAGGAAUUCCAGUAACUGUAAAAAUUAUGUGUUUUUUUAGCUUAAUUUGAUCUACACCGUGAUGUAGAAAGGACUAGAAUUAUCUAGAUGAGACAAAAUUUAUAUCUUAGAUAUUUUUAAUAUUGUUUUCUAAUAAAAACUGAAAUUUCAAUAGGCUGUCAAGUAUAUUGAUGAAAAUAGGCUGGGCUUAUGAAAUUAGAAUUGGUUGUCAAGUACAUUUAAAGAUCAUAUUACUAAACACAAUGAAAAUUAGAAGGAUAAAAAAAUUAAAUCCUUAAAAUAUAAUAAUCAAAAUUAAAAUAAAUUAUAAACUAAAUAUAUUCAAAUAAUUAAUUAUUAACAAUUUAUUAUACCAUUUAAGAUAAAAUUACUAUUAUUUUUCAGAAUUUAUUAUACCAUUUAAGAAGGGCUCGGGAGAAAGGAGAGAAGGGAAAAAAUACUAUUAUUUUUCACAAUUUAAUGAUAUUUGAAAAGUAAUUAUCAAAAUUAAUUUUGAAGGUAAAAUUACCAAAAUGGAUAUUAAUUGUUUGUGGCUAUCUUUUGCAUUAUAAUUAACCAAAAUGACAGUGUGUAAUAUCCCAAUUGCCUCGGUGAUUACAGGGUUAGCUACUAGUUACCAAAUUAUUUUGUUUUUAUUUUAGUAACCACUGUUUUUGCUGUACGGGCAAAGAACCAACAUUAUAAACCAAGAAAUAACACUUUAGUCCUAACCAAGCAAUAUAAAAACACUGCUAUUAUGAACCAACAGCACCAAAUAAAAUGUUAACAGAAUAACAUUAUAAAAUGCUACAACAACACCAAAUAUAGCCGCAACAAAAUAACAGUAUAAAAAUAACAAUCACAUUAAACUUUAUAAGGAAGGAACAAUCAAUCCUCACCUCUUGAAUUGAUUUUUGGGUUGAGUUAGACCUCUCAUAUUAUUUCCUCUGAGAAAAACAAAGUGAAGGACAAAAACGAAAAAUCCGAACAUUGAAAUCUGAGAAUUGAUACUCCCAUGACUCAGAAGCAGUUCCAAUAACUUCACCCAAAAUCGAUUUUCAAUACGUGAAUCACGUCCAACACAAUAAAUCAAACAUCAUGGUCUCCUCUUUUUUCACGUUUGACCAUUCCUGAUCCACAUCCAGGGGUUGCCAAAGGAGCUUCAACGCUUAUAUGUGUCAACAAAUCAUUCUUAUUCGUCUUCUUCUUCCUUCAGCUUUUCUGGUUCUUUAAUGAAGACGUCUUUGAUAUGUGAUAUUUUGGACCAAAACUCACCGACAUGGGGCUGGCAUUUUUUGCAUAAUUCAGGGCAACCACUGAUAUGCAAAUGUUCAAGUGCGGUCAGGUGAUGGAUGUUAUCCGGGAGAGAUAUAAGCUUUGGACAACCAUAUAUAAGAAGUACUUUCAGAUUAGUCAUAGUUGACAGCCACUCCGGAAGCAUUUCAAGAUUGUCGCAGUCUGAAAUAAUCAAGGUCCGUAAGGAGUUGGCAGUUUCUUGAAGCCAUUGAGGUAAGGCCACCAGCUGUGGUAAGCCCCAGAAUGCAACAUAUUUUAACCUUAACUUGGGGUUUUGUUCUUCAUGGUGUUCCUUCCACAGAUCUAAGUCCAGAUUAACACAAUCUUUAACAGUCAGAGUUUCUAAUUCAGGAAAAUUUAUAACAUCCAGUGGCAAAGACUUCAGACUAUGACAGGCAGCAACAUUCAAUGCUUUAAGAGCAGGGAACUUCACCCCUCCAAAGAUAGACUCCAUAUUAUGGCAUGAUUCAAUAGACAGAAGUUCAAGGGAGAUCAAAUUGGUAAUCUCAGUGUAAGGCAAAACAGGUUGCUUUGUAGUUAUCCCCAAAUGCCGAAGACAAAUCAAUUUUCUGAAUCCUUUGGGCAAUGCUUCCAGCUCCUUGCAUCUCAGAACACUCAAGAAUUGCAAAUUUUGGAGCUUGCAAAUAGAAUUGGGGAGUCUCUUGAUGUUGGGAUUAUUCUGAAUGCUGAAAGAUCUCAAGUGUUUCAACUUACCAAUAGAACGUGGCAAAGUCUUGCAUGUCGAAUCUCUUAAAUCCAAAACUCGCAAUAAUUUGAACUUUGACACACAGGUAUUUAGCAAAGCUUCAACGUUGGCUCCUUCUGCACCAUUUGGAAUCAUUAUAGAUCUCACGGCUACCGAUUUUGAGGUGAAUGAAUUUCCAAGAGAACUGAAUUCCGCAAAAGACAGAUGCCGAAUAUUCUCAGGAAUAUUUUGAACGUGGGAAUUUACAAGUAGACACUCAUCUUUUGCAACAAACAGAGCAAGAUCAUGCACCAAAUCAUGAAUUUUAAAUUGAUAAAUAGUGCCACCAUCAAUAAAAUCUUGAAGGAAAGAUCUUGACAGUAAUUCAUCCAGAUACUGUUUGACAACAUCUUCCGGUGUCUCAUUCUUUCUUGGUGGUGCAAGGACACCAAGUGCCUCCCAAAGCCUAGCUACCUCAACACUAUGAAAUUCAUAAUCCUUUGGGUAAAGUGAAAACAAUGCAAAACAUUGCCUCAAAUAGGAGGGCAAGAAAUCAUAACUUAAUUUAAGUGCAGGUAAAAUGUCAUCUUUAUUUUGUGGCAAAUUCCAAAUUUCAUUGUCUCUCACAUAUUCCCACUCAUUUGCCUCAAACUUUGAAAAUAGUAAACUCCCCAAUGUUCUCACAGCCAAUGGAACCCCUUUGCAUUUUUUCACAAUUUCUUUUCCGAUAUUUACCAAAUGGGGAUGUUUCUCCUCUUCGCCUUCGUUUUUAAAUGCCCAUUUGACAAAAAGAGACAAUGAAUUCUCAGGAGAAAGGUUUUGUAACUUGUAAGAGGCAACAGUCCCCAUCAUGGAAGCAAUGGAAUCAAUACGUGUAGUAACUAGAAUUUUACUUCCUGCAGCAACCCCUUCUUUUAAUAAAUUCCUCAACUCAACCCAUUUAACACGAUCAUCAUUCCAUACGUCAUCCAAGACAAGUAAGAAUUUUUUACCGGCAAGUUUGCUGGUCAAUUGAUUUUGUAAUUGCUCCAGAUCGACCAUGUCUAAAUUCUGUUGGCGAAGAGGAGCAUCGUUAACAUUCACAGAAUUGAUGAUUUUGAUAACGAGUUGGUUGAUGUCAAAGUCAUCAGAAACACACACCCACAUCUUCAAUUUGAAACACUCAUCUAUCCUCUUAUCAUUAAACACAAACUUUGCAAGUGUAGUUUUUCCCAAGCCUCCAAUCCCCACAAUGGGGAUAACAGAGAGACUUUUAUCAUCAUCGUUGGGAUUCUGCUGCAUGAAAAGCUCUAUGAUCUUUUCUUUAUCAUGUUCCCUUCCUAUCACAUCUGAGUCACUCACACGGGAGUGUGUCAUGCGACUCGUGUCCCUCCUAUGAACGACUCGUGUGUCAACAUCAAUUAUUCGGAGACCAAACUUCUGCCCAUCAGUUGCAACCUUGUCUAGCCGCUUGCUGACAUCUUUGAUUUGUUGAGCCAUCUUGGAACGAAAAACAAGUGGAUUAGAACUUGAGAAGAAGUGGCUUACCUGGUCUUUGAUGGUACCAUGAUCUUUGAGCACUUGCUUUCGCAGUGUUUGGCACUCAAAUUCAUCCAACACAUUUUGGGCAUCAUAGAAGACACUUUUGAGCUGCCUCAGCCAUUCCCGAAGCACAUGGUUAUGCUCCUGCUUUUGCUCAGCAUCUAACAGCACUGCCUUAACUAAUGAGAGAGUCUUUUUAAGGUCUCGGAGAUGGUCGUACAAACCCACCACCCGAGAAGCUUCUUGGAAAGCAUGAGAAGCAAGCUUUGUUAUGAGAGACUCAGCGAUGCUGAAGAUAAAUGAUUCAGCCAUGGUUUGUGUUAUCAGGAAUUCCAACACCAGAGAUCGGAA
RNAcentral lists this long non-coding RNA (16207 nucleotides) under Glycine max (soybean). RNAcentral's name for it is "long non-coding RNA (GMAX_LNC004403)". Lineage: Eukaryota; Viridiplantae; Streptophyta; Magnoliopsida; Fabales; Fabaceae. The record is from RNAcentral.